CAUCGCCUCCUGCCCACUCAGCAUAGGAGGUCCCGCCUGCCCUGUGACCAAAAGUUUAACGGCCGCGGUAUUUUAACCGUGCAAAGGUAGCGCAAUCAAUUGUCUUUUAAAUGAAGACCUGUAUGAAUGGCAUAACGAGGGUUUAACUGUCUCUUUUUUCAGGUCAAUGAAACUGAUCUGUCCGUGCAGAAGCGGACAUAUUGACACAAGACGAGAAGACCCUAUGGAGCUUUAGACGCCCACCAACCGCGAAAAGCAGCCUACCUAAACAGAUGCUCUAAACAACGCGGUCCUGGUACAAACGUCUUCGGUUGGGGCGACCGCGGAGGAGAACAAAGCCUCCGAGAGGAAUGGGAACAAACCCUAAAACCAAGAGCCACAGCUCUAAGUCACAAAAAAUUUGACCGACAAUGAUCCGGCUUACUGCCGAUCAACGGACCAAGUUACCCUAGGGAUAACAGCGCAAUCCCCUCCCAGAGUCCAUAUCGACGAGGGGGUUUACGACCUCGAUGUUGGAUCAGGACAUCCUAAUGGUGCAGCCGCUAUUAAGGGUUCGUUUGUUCAACGAUUAAAGUCCUACGUG
This 583-nucleotide ribosomal RNA is filed under the name Sardinella aurita (round sardinella). RNAcentral describes it as "partial 16S ribosomal RNA". It matches the Rfam family "Bacterial large subunit ribosomal RNA", at positions 1814 to 2602 of the family's 2925-position model. The record is from RNAcentral. Lineage: Eukaryota; Metazoa; Chordata; Actinopteri; Clupeiformes; Clupeidae.